GAGCAUAGCUCAGCUGGUUAGAGCGCCUGCUUCACACGCAGGAGGUCACAGGUUCGAGUCCUGUUGCCCCC
This 71-nucleotide transfer RNA is filed under the name human gut metagenome. It matches the Rfam family "tRNA", at positions 5 to 66 of the family's 71-position model. Rfam says of the family: Transfer RNA (tRNA) molecules are approximately 80 nucleotides in length. Their secondary structure includes four short double-helical elements and three loops (D, anti-codon, and T loops). The record is from RNAcentral.